UUGUUCGUUUCAGCAGCACAUAUACUAAAAUUGGAACAAUACAGAGAAGAUUAGCAUGGCCACUGAGCAACGAUGACACACAUACUAAUAAUGAAGCAUUCCAUAUUUUU
Octodon degus (degu) is the source of this 110-nucleotide small nuclear RNA. Lineage: Eukaryota; Metazoa; Chordata; Mammalia; Rodentia; Octodontidae. The record is from Ensembl.